This 492-nucleotide ribosomal RNA is filed under the name uncultured bacterium. RNAcentral's name for it is "partial 16S ribosomal RNA". It matches the Rfam family "Bacterial small subunit ribosomal RNA", at positions 29 to 507 of the family's 1533-position model. The record is from RNAcentral.
AGUGAACGCUGGCGGUAGGCCUAACACAUGCAAGUCGAACGGCAGCACAGUAAGAGCUUGCUCUUACGGGUGGCGAGUGGCGGACUGGUGAGGAAUACAUCGGAAUCUACUUUUUCGUGGGGGAUAACGUAGGGAAACUUACGCUAAUACCGCAUACGACCUACGGGUGAAAGCAGGGGAUCUUCGGACCUUGCGCGAUUGAAUGAGCCGAUGUCGGAUUAGCUAGUUGGCGGGGUAAAGGCCCACCAAGGCGACGAUCCGUAGCUGGUCUGAGAGGAUGAUCAGCCACACUGGAACUGAGACACGGUCCAGACUCCUACGGGAGGCAGCAGUGGGGAAUAUUGGACAAAGGGCGCAAGCCUGAUCCAGCCAUACCGCGUGGGUGAAGAAGGCCUUCGGGUUGUAAAGCCCUUUUGUUGGGAAAGAAAAGCAGCAGGUUAAUACCCCGCUGUUAUGACGGUACCCAAAGAAUAAGCACCGGCUAACUUCGUG